Molecule: unclassified non-coding RNA, 217 nt
Filed under: Hevea brasiliensis (rubber tree)
Lineage: Eukaryota; Viridiplantae; Streptophyta; Magnoliopsida; Malpighiales; Euphorbiaceae
Source: RNAcentral
UGGCAACCCAAUAUAAAAGGAAAAGGGAAUUUUGUGGAAAUUUGUCAUCAGGAUUGGACGAAACUGCUGCAUCUUGAAGGGAAUUAGAUUUCUCAAUCUUUUUUUGAACACCUUUUAUAUACUUCUCUUUCAGUCUAAAUUUACCCAAUUUUGUGAUUGUCCUAGUUUCACAAUGAAUUCUUAAUUGUAAUCUUUUCAUACUAUCAAUGAAAUUCUG